RNAcentral lists this ribosomal RNA (491 nucleotides) under uncultured bacterium. RNAcentral describes it as "bacterial SSU rRNA". It matches the Rfam family "Bacterial small subunit ribosomal RNA", at positions 32 to 518 of the family's 1533-position model. The record is from RNAcentral.
AAUCAACGCUGGCGGCGUGCCUAACACAUGCAAGUCGAACGAGAAAGUGGGGGCAACUCCAUGAGUAAAGUGGCAGACGGGUGAGUAACACGUGAACAACCUACCCUCGAGUGUGGAAUAACACCGCGAAAGCGGUGCUAAUACCGCAUAACAUCUUCGGGUCGCAUGAUCUGAAGAUCAAAAGCGCAAGUUGCUUGAGGAGGGGUUCGCGCCUGAUUAGCUAGUUGGUGAGGUAACGGCCCACCAAGGCAACGAUCAGUAGCCGGCCUGAGAGGGCGAACGGCCACACUGGAACUGAGACACGGUCCAGACUCCUACGGGAGGCAGCAGUGGGGAAUUUUGCGCAAUGGGCGAAAGCCUGACGCAGCAACGCCGCGUGGAGGAUGAAGGUCUUCGGAUCGUAAACUCCUGUCAGUGGGGACGAAUGCUUCGCAAGAAGUUUGACUGUACCCGCUGAGGAAGCCACGGCUAACUCCGUGCCAGCAGCCGAC